RNAcentral lists this ribosomal RNA (561 nucleotides) under Kockiozyma suomiensis. RNAcentral's name for it is "eukaryotic LSU rRNA". It matches the Rfam family "Eukaryotic large subunit ribosomal RNA", at positions 62 to 648 of the family's 3401-position model. The record is from RNAcentral. Lineage: Eukaryota; Fungi; Ascomycota; Lipomycetes; Lipomycetales; Lipomycetaceae.
AAACCAACAGGGAUUGCCUUAGUAACUGCGAGUGAAGCGGCAAGAGCUCAAAUUUGAAAUCUGGCAUCCGCCCGAGUUGUAAUUUGUAGAAGCAAUUUUUGAACUAGUCCUUGCAUAUGUUCCUUGGAACAGGACAUCAUAGAGGGUGAGAAUCCCGUUCAUGGUGGGGAAUCUAGUUCUUUGUAAAAUGCUUUCGACGAGUCGAGUUGUUUGGGAAUGCAGCUCUAAGUGGGUGGUAAAUUCCAUCUAAAGCUAAAUAUUGGCGAGAGACCGAUAGCGAACAAGUACAGUGAUGGAAAGAUGAAAAGUACUCCGAAAGGAGAGUGAAACAGAACGUGAAAUUGUUGAAAGGGAAGUGCUUGAGAUCAGUGAUAGAGUUUAGUGAUCAGCUUUCCUUUUGGUUUGUGCACUUGCUAUUCUCUAGGCCAGCAUCAGUUUUUGAGAUAGGAUAAUUGCAUAGGAAUGUGGCUGCUUCGGCAGUGUUAUAGCCUAUGUCGAUACUAUUUUGUAGACUGAGGACCGCGCAUUUGCUAGGAUGUUGGCAUAAUGAUCUUAAGCAGC